UUCCCAGCUAUCCACGUAGAGGAGUUCUGCAGUCUUUUCCCUCGCCUAAAUGGUCUUGACCUGAGUAAGGUUGAUGUACAAGACGGUCUCACCCACACGCCCUGAAACUACCGCAGUUGUCAACAUCUAGUGCCUUCACCUGCCGCCUCAGCUUUGGAAGAUGAUAGUGGCAGGGCGGUGGGGUCAUUUUGCCCCAUAUUGAUGCUGUCGGACAGUCGGUAGCCAUCUGAUUCAUCACAAUGGACAUUCUUCUAUAUAAUGAAGGCACUAAUUAUAUACAAAUAGAUUCAGAGGUCUGAAUGUCAUUCACUCCCUGUAACGCCAGCAUCUGCAGCAUGAUGUCAUCAAUUGAGCUAGUGACAACAUCCAUGACAUUGGACUCA
Magallana angulata is the source of this 383-nucleotide long non-coding RNA. RefSeq lists it as uncharacterized. The transcript is spliced from 3 exons. Lineage: Eukaryota; Metazoa; Mollusca; Bivalvia; Ostreida; Ostreidae. The record is from RefSeq and is a predicted model, not a curated record.